This 2163-nucleotide ribosomal RNA is filed under the name Escherichia coli. RNAcentral's name for it is "partial 23S ribosomal RNA". It matches the Rfam family "Bacterial large subunit ribosomal RNA", at positions 1 to 2188 of the family's 2925-position model. The record is from RNAcentral. Lineage: Bacteria; Pseudomonadati; Pseudomonadota; Gammaproteobacteria; Enterobacterales; Enterobacteriaceae.
GGUUAAGCGACUAAGCGUACACGGUGGAUGCCCUGGCAGUCAGAGGCGAUGAAGGACGUGCUAAUCUGCGAUAAGCGUCGGUAAGGUGAUAUGAACCGUUAUAACCGGCGAUUUCCGAAUGGGGAAACCCAGUGUGUUUCGACACACUAUCAUUAACUGAAUCCAUAGGUUAAUGAGGCGAACCGGGGGAACUGAAACAUCUAAGUACCCCGAGGAAAAGAAAUCAACCGAGAUUCCCCCAGUAGCGGCGAGCGAACGGGGAGCAGCCCAGAGCCUGAAUCAGUGUGUGUGUUAGUGGAAGCGUCUGGAAAGGCGCGCGAUACAGGGUGACAGCCCCGUACACAAAAAUGCACAUGCUGUGAGCUCGAUGAGUAGGGCGGGACACGUGGUAUCCUGUCUGAAUAUGGGGGGACCAUCCUCCAAGGCUAAAUACUCCUGACUGACCGAUAGUGAACCAGUACCGUGAGGGAAAGGCGAAAAGAACCCCGGCGAGGGGAGUGAAAAAGAACCUGAAACCGUGUACGUACAAGCAGUGGGAGCCUCUUUAUGGGGUGACUGCGUACCUUUUGUAUAAUGGGUCAGCGACUUAUAUUCUGUAGCAAGGUUAACCGAAUAGGGGAGCCGAAGGGAAACCGAGUCUUAACUGGGCGUUAAGUUGCAGGGUAUAGACCCGAAACCCGGUGAUCUAGCCAUGGGCAGGUUGAAGGUUGGGUAACACUAACUGGAGGACCGAACCGACUAAUGUUGAAAAAUUAGCGGAUGACUUGUGGCUGGGGGUGAAAGGCCAAUCAAACCGGGAGAUAGCUGGUUCUCCCCGAAAGCUAUUUAGGUAGCGCCUCGUGAAUUCAUCUCCGGGGGUAGAGCACUGUUUCGGCAAGGGGGUCAUCCCGACUUACCAACCCGAUGCAAACUGCGAAUACCGGAGAAUGUUAUCACGGGAGACACACGGCGGGUGCUAACGUCCGUCGUGAAGAGGGAAACAACCCAGACCGCCAGCUAAGGUCCCAAAGUCAUGGUUAAGUGGGAAACGAUGUGGGAAGGCCCAGACAGCCAGGAUGUUGGCUUAGAAGCAGCCAUCAUUUAAAGAAAGCGUAAUAGCUCACUGGUCGAGUCGGCCUGCGCGGAAGAUGUAACGGGGCUAAACCAUGCACCGAAGCUGCGGCAGCGACGCUUAUGCGUUGUUGGGUAGGGGAGCGUUCUGUAAGCCUGCGAAGGUGUGCUGUGAGGCAUGCUGGAGGUAUCAGAAGUGCGAAUGCUGACAUAAGUAACGAUAAAGCGGGUGAAAAGCCCGCUCGCCGGAAGACCAAGGGUUCCUGUCCAACGUUAAUCGGGGCAGGGUGAGUCGACCCCUAAGGCGAGGCCGAAAGGCGUAGUCGAUGGGAAACAGGUUAAUAUUCCUGUACUUGGUGUUACUGCGAAGGGGGGACGGAGAAGGCUAUGUUGGCCGGGCGACGGUUGUCCCGGUUUAAGCGUGUAGGCUGGUUUUCCAGGCAAAUCCGGAAAAUCAAGGCUGAGGCGUGAUGACGAGGCACUACGGUGCUGAAGCAACAAAUGCCCUGCUUCCAGGAAAAGCCUCUAAGCAUCAGGUAACAUCAAAUCGUACCCCAAACCGACACAGGUGGUCAGGUAGAGAAUACCAAGGCGCUUGAGAGAACUCGGGUGAAGGAACUAGGCAAAAUGGUGCCGUAACUUCGGGAGAAGGCACGCUGAUAUGUAGGUGAAGCGACUUGCUCGUGGAGCUGAAAUCAGUCGAAGAUACCAGCUGGCUGCAACUGUUUAUUAAAAACACAGCACUGUGCAAACACGAAAGUGGACGUAUACGGUGUGACGCCUGCCCGGUGCCGGAAGGUUAAUUGAUGGGGUUAGCGGUAACGCGAAGCUCUUGAUCGAAGCCCCGGUAAACGGCGGCCGUAACUAUAACGGUCCUAAGGUAGCGAAAUUCCUUGUCGGGUAAGUUCCGACCUGCACGAAUGGCGUAAUGAUGGCCAGGCUGUCUCCACCCGAGACUCAGUGAAAUUGAACUCGCUGUGAAGAUGCAGUGUACCCGCGGCAAGACGGAAAGACCCCGUGAACCUUUACUAUAGCUUGACACUGAACAUUGAGCCUUGAUGUGUAGGAUAGGUGGGAGGCUUUGAAGUGUGGACGCCAGUCUGCAUGGAGCCG